AAAACACAUCAGCUGUUGUUUCAACCCGGACUUCCGCCCAGAAGGAGAGAGUUGAUGACCCCGGAGUCCGGUCCCUACCUUCCCUUCCAGCUGAAAUUUCUAACAAUAAACUUGCUAAAACUU
Austrofundulus limnaeus is the source of this 123-nucleotide long non-coding RNA. RefSeq lists it as uncharacterized. Lineage: Eukaryota; Metazoa; Chordata; Actinopteri; Cyprinodontiformes; Rivulidae. The transcript has 2 exons. The record is from RefSeq and is a predicted model, not a curated record.